This 313-nucleotide long non-coding RNA is filed under the name Numida meleagris (helmeted guineafowl). RNAcentral's name for it is "lncRNA (ENSNMEG00000021291.1)". Lineage: Eukaryota; Metazoa; Chordata; Aves; Galliformes; Numididae. The record is from RNAcentral.
AGACACCAUCCCAGGGGGCACCUUGACCCCUUCUGAUUGCUUCAUGUGCCACCCCCCCGGUUGCUAACAGAACAAAGCUAAAAAAAAUUACUUGCGUAUUUGUUGAACUAAUUAUCUUGUGCAUGUUUCAGCACUCCAAUCAACCCACAGCAUCACUUAUUUGAAGAGCCUUGCAUCUUGAAAUGCUUGAUCUCCUGUGAUGGUACGACUGCUGUCAUCAUGCAGCGCAGAGAGGUUUUGAGAUCACACAGAGAGCGCAGAUCUGGUCACUGAAGACAACUGGCAAUGAAAUGGGUGUGCGAAAGAAGAGGAA